UAACACAUGCAAGUCGUGCGAGAAAGUACCUUCGGGUGCGAGUAGAGCGGCGGACGGGUGAGUAACGCGUAGGAAUCUACCUAGUAGAAGGGGAUAGCCCGGGGAAACUCGGAUUAAUACCGUAUACCUCCUAAGGGAGAAAGAGGGCCUCUCUUGAUGCUCUCGCUAUUAGAUGAGCCUGCGUAAGAUUAGCUUGUUGGUAAGGUAAUGGCUUACCAAGGCUACGAUCUUUAGCUGGUCUGAGAGGACGAUCAGCCACAUUGGGACUGAGACACGGCCCAGACUCCUACGGGAGGCAGCAGUGGGGAAUAUUGGACAAUGGGCGCAAGCCUGAUCCAGCCAUACCGCGUGUGUGAAGAAGGCCUUCGGGUUGUAAAGCACUUUAAGCAGGGAGAAAAAGUUAUAAGUUAAUACCUUGUAACCGUGAUGUUACCUGCAGAAUAAGCACCGGCUAAUUCCGUGCCAGCAGCCGCGGUAAUACGGAAGGUGCAAGCGUUAAUCGGAAUUACUGGGCGUAAAGCGCGCGUAGGUGGUUUGUUAAGUUGGAUGUGAAAGCCCUGGGCUCAACCUAGGAACUGCAUCCAAAACUAACUCACUAGAGUACGAUAGAGGGAGGUAGAAUUCAUAGUGUAGCGGUGGAAUGCGUAGAUAUUAUGAAGAAUACCAGUGGCGAAGGCGGCCUCCUGGAUCUGUACUGACACUGAGGUGCGAAAGCGUGGGUAGCGAACAGGAUUAGAUACCCUGGUAGUCCACGCCGUAAACGAUGACAACUAGCUGUUGGGAGACAAUGUCUUUCAGUGGCGCAGCUAACGUUUUAAGUUGUCCGCCUGGGGAGUACGGCCGCAAGGCUAAAACUCAAAUGAAUUGACGGGGACCCGCACAAGGGGGAGCAUGUGGUUUAUUCGAUGCAACGGCGAAAAACCUUACCUACUCUUGACAUACUUGGGAAGCUCUUGUAAUGAAGAGUGUGCCUUUUGGAGCCAAGAUACAAGGUGCUGCUUGCUGUCGUCAGCUCGUGUCUGGAGAUGUUCGUUAAGUCGGAUAACGAGCGCAACCUUACCUUAUUGCCAGCGAUUCGUCCGGAACUAUAAGGGGACUGGCGGUUGAUAACUGGAGAGUGAGAACGAACGUCAAGUUCCUUCAUGGCCCUUUACCGAAGUAGGGCUUCACCCACGUGCUUACAAAUGGGGUACACCCA
This 1198-nucleotide ribosomal RNA is filed under the name uncultured Gammaproteobacteria bacterium. Its description in RNAcentral is "bacterial SSU rRNA". It matches the Rfam family "Bacterial small subunit ribosomal RNA", at positions 49 to 1245 of the family's 1533-position model. Lineage: Bacteria; Pseudomonadati; Pseudomonadota; Gammaproteobacteria. The record is from RNAcentral.